AGUCCCAGAGAGAGAAGCAGGGUCUGAUCCGCAGCCUCCGUGGCAGCUGAUAAUCAGCACUUGCCUCUCUCUUUCUCUGUG
Non-coding RNA from Myotis brandtii (Brandt's bat), 81 nucleotides. The record is from Rfam. NCBI's taxonomy places the organism in Eukaryota, Metazoa, Chordata, Mammalia, Chiroptera, Vespertilionidae.